AGUUUGAUGAAGAAAGGCAGAAUGAGCAUUCAGCUCCUUGCCUGUAAUUACCAGGUUCCCAGGCUAGGGGUCCAAUCGGAGCUGUAGCCACUGGCCUACGCCAGAGCCAUAGCAACGCAUGGCUGGGGCGGCGUGGGGCAGGGAGUGCGUGAGGAGGUGAGGGGUUGAAAGUAGAACUUUUGAUCUAUGAUCCAGCAAUUUGACGUCUGAUAUUUUUCCAACGAACACAGAAACAUUACCUAUAAAGAUAGACUCAACCCUGUAUUUAUCACAGCAUUAUUUACAGUAGCAAAGAUAUGGACGCAACCUAAGUAUCUGUCAGUAGAACAGAUAAAGAAGAUACCACAGUGGAAUGUUACUCAGCCAUGAAAAAGAAUGAAAUUCUUCCAUUUACUACAACAUGGAUGGACUCAGUGGGUAUUAUGCUAAGUGAAAUAAGUCAGAGGAAGACGAAUACUCUAUGAUUUCACUUGUUGGUGGAAUUUAAGAAACAAAUGAACAGAACAAAACAGAAACUGACCCAAGAUACAGAGGACAAAGAGUGCAACCGGAGGUGACAGUGCAUCCGGAGAGGACCCCGUCCCUGCAGCUCCGCAACCUGCUGCUUUGCUCUGUGACAGGGUUCUACCCAGGGGCCAUCGAGAUCAGGUGGUUCCGGAACGGGCAGGAGCAGAGAGAGGGGGUCCUGGCCACUGGCCUCGUCAGGAAUGGAGACUGGACCUUUCAGACAGUGGUGAUGCUGGAAAUGACUCCUGAGCUUGGGGACGUCUACACCUGCCUUGUUGAUCAUCCCAGCCUGCUGAGCCCCGUUUCUGUGGAGUGGAAUGUGGAGUGUGGCAUUUCUUCCUAGAGGAUGGGAAACCAGCUCGGCCAGCUCUCAUUGCCCUGACUAGUCCUUUCACAUUUCCAGAAUAUGUUGAAAUCAGAGAUGUGGUUUUGGAUGUUUGGGAAGCAAAGAAGCAUAAAAUGGAGCAGAAGGUAAAGCCAGCUUUUGCCUGAAGAUGGAGUUCAGUCUUUUUACAUGUUUUAGCAGAACCUGCACAGAUCAGAAGCCUGAAACUAUCUUUAUCUUAUGUGGGAAUUGACACGCUUUGUGGUCAGGAAAGCUGGUCUUCUCACACCAAGGUCAAGUGUGGCUGUAGGAGGCGGAGCCUGCAGGUGCAGCAGCGUGUGGAGGGUACUUCUGACGCCCCCCUUCUCUCGAGGAAGAGAGUGUCCUAUCCCAGUCGGCGUUCCCAUCUUCCCCCCUGGACAACCUCAGACUUUUAAUGGCUUCGAGGUUUAGACCACAUGUGCAAGUGUGAGAUAUUUCUCUUCUCAAUUUUUUUUUUGUGGUGUAUGAUAGGAAGUCAUUAUUUUAAUUCUUGGAGAUGAAUUUGUUUACAGUAUUAAAUUACACAUGAGGGAAAUGAGAAGGGUUGAUGACAAAGGUCGUGUGAAAAGAUUGAGAGGUGGGUUUAACAAUUCAAAUUAGAUUGAAAGCUGUUAAUGGGUGGCCUUGAAGGUCGGAGACACCUCAAGCCUGGUGGAGAGAAACAAGGGGACAGAAGAGACAGAGGGGCUACUUCAAGAUUUCCAAAUAUUAUUCUGACUAAUAGUUCAAUACAAAUUUUAUUUUACUGCUGGGUUUAUAAAGCCGAUCACAGAUCUGUCAGACCACGUUAGAAGCAGGAAGAGGAGAAAACAAGAUCCCUUUUAUUGUAGUCUAGAUCCUUGGGUGACAUUUUAUUCCUUCCACCUUCACAGGUAUAAAUGUAGAUAUAGAUAUAAAUGGAAAAAUGGUCAGAGGCUUGAGAUCAUAGUAAACAGGCCAAUUUGUCACUAAGCUUUGUUUUUAAUUAAUUUUUUCCUAUCAGUUUUAUUGUGUUAUGAUUGACAUACAACAUUGGAGAAGUUUAAGGUAUAAAGCAUGGGGAGUUCCCUUGAGGUGCAGCGGGUUAAGGAUCCGGUGUUGUCACUGAAAUGGCUCGGGUCGCUAAUGUGGUGCAGACUGAAUCUCUGGCCCAGGAACUUCCACUGCCUCGGGUGCAGCGGAAAAAAAAAAAAAAAAAAAAAA
Molecule: long non-coding RNA, 2056 nt
Filed under: Sus scrofa (pig)
Lineage: Eukaryota; Metazoa; Chordata; Mammalia; Artiodactyla; Suidae
Description: lncRNA (ENSSSCG00045011207.1)
Source: RNAcentral